UGUUCUGUGGCUUAGUGGGUUAUAGCGCCGGUCUAGCGAAUACGGAUCCGUGGGUUCGAAUCCCACCAGAACUC
Non-coding RNA from Aedes albopictus (Asian tiger mosquito), 74 nucleotides. The record is from Rfam. NCBI's taxonomy places the organism in Eukaryota, Metazoa, Arthropoda, Insecta, Diptera, Culicidae.